RNAcentral lists this ribosomal RNA (494 nucleotides) under uncultured bacterium. RNAcentral's name for it is "partial 16S ribosomal RNA". It matches the Rfam family "Bacterial small subunit ribosomal RNA", at positions 28 to 507 of the family's 1533-position model. The record is from RNAcentral.
GACGAACGCUGGCGGCGUGCUUAACACAUGCAAGUCGAACGGUGAAGCGCCUUCCUUUUUGGUGGGUGUGGAUGAGUGGCGAACGGGUGAGUAACACGUGAGUAACCUGCCCCCUUCUUCUGGAUAACCGCAUGAAAGUGUGGCUAAUACGGGAUAUUCUGGGUCUGUCGCAUGAUGGGUCUGGGAAAGAUAUUGUUUCGGUGGGGGAUGGGCUCGCGGCCUAUCAGCUUGUUGGUGGGGUGAUGGCCUACCAAGGCGGUGACGGGUAGCCGGCCUGAGAGGGUGGACGGUCACACUGGGACUGAGGCACGGCCCAGACUCCUACGGGAGGCAGCAGUGGGGAAUAUUGCACAAUGGGCGCAAGCCUGAUGCAGCGACGCCGCGUGAGGGAUGGAGGCCUUCGGGUUGUGAACCUCUUUCGCCAGUGAAGCAGGCCUGCCUCGUUUGUGGGUGGGUUGACGGUAGCUGGAGAAGAAGCGCCGGCUAACUACGUG